GGCAGGAAGAGUACACAGGUCAAUGACUGGUUGCUCCAUUGUUGGUGACACUGAAUUUGGUCACUUGAUUAAGAGAGUUACUGCCAGAUUUCUUCAUUGUAAGGGUAAACUUUCUGUUUAUGAUUGAUAAGCUAUCUGUGGAGUGAUACUUUGAGUCCAGGGUUUUAGCAUUUGUUGAUAAUCCUUGCUUGAAUUAAUUACUACAGUGGUGAAUACAAAAAUCUCAUUGUCUCCCUAUGCUGCCUGUAGACAUGGAGUUCUGUUCCUAAAGCUGUACUUCCAGUAUUCUGAAACCAGUGUGUCUAGUGUGCUCCACUGUGGAUACCAUGAUGCAGUGGUGGAAAGAAUAAGAGAUGAACCUUUGUGGAAAUAUCUCUCCAGAAACAUUCAUUUUUGUGAUGAAAGGCUAUCACCAUAGAAUUUCCAUCACCCAGUGAACCUGCAUACAUAAUAGCCAGAGGUAGAGACUCAUUAUUUUCUUUUCUGCUCUUUGAUCCACUCUAGAAAUUUUGGAAAGUUUAAAUAAUAUGGAAUCAUAUGAAUAUUAUUUAAAUUUAAAUGUUUGUAUUUCUGGGAAGUUUGGGUAAUAUUCAUUUGUGUUCAUUUUGUUAGCAAAGCCAAGAUUUUGUUGAUACAGACAUGUAUUAUGUAAUCUUGAAGGUCUUUUCCCACAAUGUCUCGAGUUAACAAAGUUAAACUGAUGCACAAGUUUAUUAUCUUAUUAUUGUAUA
RNAcentral lists this long non-coding RNA (731 nucleotides) under Callithrix jacchus (white-tufted-ear marmoset). RNAcentral's name for it is "lncRNA (ENSCJAG00000080738.1)". The record is from RNAcentral. Lineage: Eukaryota; Metazoa; Chordata; Mammalia; Primates; Cebidae.